UACGUAGGGUGCAAGCGUUGUCCGGAAUUAUUGGGCGUAAAGAGCUCGUAGGCGGUUCGUCGCGUCGGCUGUGAAAUCCCGAGGCUCAACCUCGGGUCUGCAGUCGAUACGGGCGGACUGGAGUACUGCAGGGGAGACUGGAAUUCCUGGUGUAGCGGUGAAAUGCGCAGAUAUCAGGAGGAACACCAAUGGCGAAGGCAGCUCGCUGGAACGGUACUGACGCUGUGGCGCGAAAGCGUGGGGAGCGAACAGG
This 253-nucleotide ribosomal RNA is filed under the name uncultured bacterium. RNAcentral's name for it is "partial 16S ribosomal RNA". It matches the Rfam family "Bacterial small subunit ribosomal RNA", at positions 524 to 776 of the family's 1533-position model. The record is from RNAcentral.